This 727-nucleotide long non-coding RNA is filed under the name Medicago truncatula (barrel medic). RNAcentral describes it as "long non-coding RNA (MTRU_LNC003830)". The record is from RNAcentral. Lineage: Eukaryota; Viridiplantae; Streptophyta; Magnoliopsida; Fabales; Fabaceae.
AACAAUAAACUAUGUCAAUUAAAAAUUCAUAACCAUAGAUACAUAAGAGUACUCACAUAUUUCUUACGACCAUAUCCCUCAUCAUCAUCACCACGCCUCUCAGAACCAUAGCUCGGUUUCUCCUCAUCAUCACUCCUUCCAUAGCUAGUUUUCCUCCCAUAGCUUGGCUUCUCCUCGUCAUCACUCCUUCCAUAGCUAGGUUUCCUCUCAUACUCAGUCCUCCCAUAGCUCGGCUUCUCCUCAUCAUCACUCCUUCCAUAGCUAGGUUUCCUCUCAUAUUCACUCCUCCCAUAGCUUGGCUUCUCCUCCUCAUCACUCCUCCCAUAGCUUGGCUUCUCCUCCUCAUCACUCCGUCCAUAGCUAGUUUUCCUGCCAUAGCUCGGCUUCUCCUCCUCAUCACUCCUUCCAUAGCUAGGCUUCCUCUCAUACUCACUCCUUCCUCCUCCAUACCCUUCUUCCUCCCCAUAACCACUCUUCUUCCUCCCCGAUCCAUACUCCGAUUCACCACUCUCAUACUCAUUCUUCCGCCCAUAACCCUCACUCUCCUCCUCAUUCUUUCUCCCACCAUAACCAGACCCAUAUCCAGAUUCUUGCUUCCUUCCACCAUAACCAGACCCAUAACCACUUUCCUCAUUCUUUCUACCAUAUUCAGACUCCUGGGCCCCACCAUAUCCUGACCCAUAUCCAGAUUCUUGCUUCCUCCCACCAUAACCAGACCCAUAUUCAC